RNAcentral lists this ribosomal RNA (407 nucleotides) under uncultured bacterium. RNAcentral's name for it is "partial 16S ribosomal RNA". It matches the Rfam family "Bacterial small subunit ribosomal RNA", at positions 30 to 526 of the family's 1533-position model. The record is from RNAcentral.
AUUGAACGCUGGCGGCAGGCCUAACACAUGCAAGUCGAACGGAGUGGCGGACGGGUGAGUAAUGUCUGGGAAACCGCCUGAUGGAGGGGGAUCACCACUGGAAACGGGCGCUAAUACCGCAUACUCUCAGAUGAGCCUAUGUCGGAUUAGCUAGUUGGCGGGGGAAAGGCCUACAAAGGCGACGAUCCGUAACUGGUCUGAGAGGAUGAUCAGUCACACUGGAACUGAGACACGGUCCAGACUCCUACGGGAGGCAGCAGUGGGGAAUAUUGGACAAUGGGCGAAAGCCUUAUCCAGCCAUGCCGCGUGUGUGAAGAAGGUCUUCGGAUUGUAAAGCACUUUAAGUUGGGAGGCGUUACCAACAGAAUAAGCACCGGCUAACUCCGUGCCAGCAGCCGCGGUAAUAC